UUCUUGGAACAGAACGUCACAGAGGGUGAGAAUCCCGUGCGAUGAGAUGAUCCAGGCCUAUGUAAAGUUCCUUCGAAGAGUCGAGUUGUUUGGGAAUGCAGCUCUAAGUGGGUGGUAAAUUCCAUCUAAAGCUAAAUAUUGGCGAGAGACCGAUAGCGAACAAGUACAGUGAUGGAAAGAUGAAAAGAACUUUGAAAAGAGAGUGAAAAAGUACGUGAAAUUGUUGAAAGGGAAGGGCUUGAGAUCAGACUUGGUAUUUUGUAUGUUACUUCUUCGGGGGUGGCCUCUACAGUUUAUCGGGCCAGCAUCAGUUUGGGCGGUAGGAGAAUUGCGUUGGAAUGUGGCACGGCUUCGGUUGUGUGUUAUAGCCUUCGUCGAUACUGCCAGCCUAGACUGAGGACUGCGGUUUAUACCUAGGAUGUUGGCAUAAUGAUCUUAAGUCGCCCGUCUUGAAACACGGACCAAGGAGUCUAACGUCUAUGCGAGUGUUUGGGUGUAAAACCCGUACGCGUAAUGAAAGUGAACGUAGGUGGGGGCCCGUAUGGGUGCACCAUCGACCGAUCCUGAUGUCUUCGGAUGGAUUUGAGUAAGAGCAUAGCUGUUGGGACCCGAAAGAUGGUGAACUAUGCCUGAAUAGG
Molecule: ribosomal RNA, 638 nt
Filed under: Candida tropicalis
Lineage: Eukaryota; Fungi; Ascomycota; Pichiomycetes; Serinales; Debaryomycetaceae
Description: partial large subunit ribosomal RNA
Rfam family: Eukaryotic large subunit ribosomal RNA
Source: RNAcentral